CGGGGUGAGUAAUGUCUGGGAAACUGCCUGAUGGAGGGGGAUAACUGCUGGAAACGGUAGCUAAUACCGCAUAACGUCGCAAGACCAAAGAGGGGGACUUCGGGCCUCUUGCCAUCGGAUGUGCCCAGAUGGGAUUAGCUAGUAGGUGGGGUAACGGCUCACCUAGGCGACGAUCCCUAGCUGGUCUGAGAGGAUGACCAGCCACACUGGAACUGAGACACGGUCCAG
This 228-nucleotide ribosomal RNA is filed under the name uncultured bacterium. RNAcentral's name for it is "partial 16S ribosomal RNA". It matches the Rfam family "Bacterial small subunit ribosomal RNA", at positions 104 to 334 of the family's 1533-position model. The record is from RNAcentral.